This 419-nucleotide long non-coding RNA is filed under the name Gallus gallus (chicken). RNAcentral describes it as "long non-coding RNA NONGGAT007137". Lineage: Eukaryota; Metazoa; Chordata; Aves; Galliformes; Phasianidae. The record is from RNAcentral.
GACCUGUCACACCUGGGGAACAGGAAUAGCACUCCUUUCUCGCAUAAGGUGACAUGAGAAUAAAUCUGUGUCUAAGGUGAGCUAAUGAGAUGUAUAAAUCUCUCUUAGUGGUUACCUGUUAAGAAGAAUACAGCUACUCAAAAUGUUUCUGUUGAGACUUGUAUGCAUUGCUUAUACUUUUCUCUUGUAGACCAUGCUUCCUCUGUGCUUGCUUCUUCCUGCUACCUGCAUGGAGGCAGCAGUGUGCUUGGGCACUUCCCCUUCAGCGUGGUGCCUGCCUCCUUCCAUGUGCCAGAAGAACAAGGCUGUGUGCCCUGCAGAGGAUGAUCACCUGCUAAUAAGAAAAAAGUAUCUCCUUUCCCAAGAACCGUAUCCACGUUACUGAAGACUGAGGUGAGCCAAGAAUCAUCAGUGUGUCA